AGAGUUUGAUCCUGGCUCAGGAUGAACGCUAGCGGCAGGCCUAACACAUGCAAGUCGAGGGGUAAGGUUCAGCUUGCUGAACACACGACCGGCGCACGGGUGAGUAUCGCGUUUGCAAUCUACCUCUAACUGGAGGAUAGCCCGAAGAAAUUCGGAUUAAUACUCCAUAAAGUCAUAAUUUCGCAUGUUAUUAUGAUUAAAGCUCCGGCGGUUAGAGAUGAGCAUGCGUGUCAUUAGCUUGUUGGUGAGGUAACGGCUCACCAAGGCAACGAUGACUAGGGGUUCUGAGAGGAUGAUCCCCCACACUGGUACUGAGACACGGACCAGACUCCUACGGGAGGCAGCAGUGAGGAAUAUUGGGCAAUGGGCGAAAGCCUGACCCAGCCAUGCCGCGUGCAGGAUGACUGCCCUAUGGGUUGUAAACUGCUUUUAUACGGGAAGAAUGGUUCCUACGUGUAGGGAUUUGACGGUACCGUAAGAAUAAGCAUCGGCUAACUCCGUGCCAGCAGCCGCGGUAAUACGGAGGAUGCAAGCGUUAUCCGGAUUCAUUGGGUUUAAAGGGUGCGCAGGCGGAAUAUUAAGUCAGUGGUGAAAUCCUGCAGCUUAACUGUAGAACUGCCAUUGAUACUGAUAUUCUUGAAUGUAGUUGAGGUGGGCGGAAUGUGUAAUGUAGCGGUGAAAUGCUUAGAUAUUACACAGAACACCGAUUGCGAAGGCAGCUCACUAAACUAACAUUGACGCUGAGGCACGAAAGCGUGGGGGAGCGA
This 767-nucleotide ribosomal RNA is filed under the name uncultured organism. RNAcentral's name for it is "bacterial SSU rRNA". It matches the Rfam family "Bacterial small subunit ribosomal RNA", at positions 8 to 771 of the family's 1533-position model. The record is from RNAcentral.